GUGUGAAUUGCUGUCACGAACAUUGCGUCGGUUGGAUCGAGUCUUACCAUAGGCGAGGUAUUGCUAAAGUGUGGUUCUGCUGGGUCGAGGCCUUAAAUACAACGCGACAACGAAGAUGGUAUCGCGUAAAAGUGUUACAAGAUAUUUGGCUAUAUGUAUGUAUGUGCGUAUGUGGGUGUGUGUGUUUGUGUACGUUUUUUGUCGCAACCUCGUCGUAUCCGGACUACAAAAUGCUUUAUUACACCUGACAUUACGCAAAUAAGGAAAUGUGAUUUUUUUCGUUGAACGUGUAAAAUAAAUUUCGAAUUUGUUUUGUAA
RNAcentral lists this long non-coding RNA (318 nucleotides) under Polistes fuscatus (common paper wasp). Its description in RNAcentral is "uncharacterized LOC122525624". Lineage: Eukaryota; Metazoa; Arthropoda; Insecta; Hymenoptera; Vespidae. The record is from RNAcentral.